Molecule: long non-coding RNA, 3105 nt
Organism: Oncorhynchus masou masou (cherry salmon)
Lineage: Eukaryota; Metazoa; Chordata; Actinopteri; Salmoniformes; Salmonidae
Exons: 2
Source: RefSeq, a predicted model, not a curated record
UUGUGUUUCUCCUGUUUGUCCUGCUGUGGUCUUUACACAUUGUGUUUCUCUCCUGUUUAUCCUGCUGUGGUCUACACAUUGUGUUUCUCCUGUUUGUCCUGCUGUGGUCUACACAUUGUGUUUCUCUCCUGUUUGUCCUGCUGUGGUCUACACAUUGUGUUUCUCCUGUUUGUCCUGCUGUGGUCUACACAUUGUGUUUCUCUCCUGUUUGUCCUGCUGUGGUCUUUACACAUUGUGUUUCUCCUGUUUGUCCUGCUGUGGUCUUUACACAUUGUGUUUCUCCUGUUUGUCCUGCUGUGGUCUUUACACAUUGUGUUUCUCCUGUUUGUCCUGCUGUGGUCUACACAUUGUGUUUCUCCUGUUUGUCCUGCUGUGGUCUUUACACAUUGUGUUUCUCUCCUGUGUUUCUCCUGUAGGUGGCAGCCAGGGCCGGGGUGUACGACCUUCUCAACCAGCUGGGUUUCUCAGAGUUUGAGAACCUUCGGGACACGCCACUUGCCAGGCUCCGCUGCCGGUGGCAACGACAGAACAACCAAUCGCGUCCCUUCAGGGGGGCGUUCAUCUGAGCUGAGGAGAGAUCACUGUGAACAGCCAGACUAUGGCUGCUUCUGAAGUGGUACUCUAUUCCCUGUACAGUUCACUACUUUAGACCAGGGCCCUCUGCCCUCUUUUGACCAGGGCCCUCUGCCCUCUUUUGACCAGGGCCCUCUGCACUCUAAAGGGACUAGGGUGCCAUUUUAUACAACCUAUGUCCUCCUGUGCUUUUUUUAUUUUAUUUUUAUAUAUAUACCUUUAAAAUGCAAUAAUGUUUUGUAUUUUGAAAUGUACUAAUGAUUUGUAAUUUUUACCCUCGUAUCACUCUGAUACUGUAUUAUGAUAAAUACUGCUUUUUUUUUCAAACCCACUACCAAUGUUAAUUAGUAUUUGAAUGGAUGUUUCAGUACUGUCAGUCGGUAUUUCCUAGUUCUGGUGCUUCUGCUCUGACUGCCGCCGAGAUUCAAGCUGACAUUUUAGUCUCCUUUGCUCUAUUGUUUCAUUGUUAAUAUAGGAGGAAUUCAUAUUUUGCCCCCUUGGUGAGAACUGCCUUACUAGUAUGGACCCUAUAGGUUUACUAGUAUGGACCCUAUAGGUUUACUUGUAUGGACCCUAUAGGUUUACUAGUUUGGACCCUAUAGGUUUACUUGUAUGGACCCUAUAGGUUUACUAGUUUGGACCCUAUAGGUUUACUUGUAUGGACCCUAUAGGUUUACUAGUAUGGACCCUAUAGGUUUACUAGUUUGGACCCUAUAGGUUUACUAGUAUGGACCCUAUAGGUUUACUUGUAUGGACCCUAUAGGUUUACUUGUAUGGACCCUAUAGGUUUACUAGAAUGGACCCUAUAGGUUUACUAGUAUGGACCCUAUAGGUUUACUAGAAUGGACCCUAUAGGUUUACUAGUAUGGACCCUAUAGGUUUACUAGUAUGGACCCUAUAGGUUUACUUGUAUGGACCCUAUAGGUUUACUAGUAUGGACCCUAUAGGUUUACUUGUAUGGACCCUAUAGGUUUACUAGUAUGGACCCUAUAGGUUUACUAGUAUGGACCCUAUAGGUUUACUAGUAUGGACCCUUUAGGUUUACUAGUAUGGACCCUAUAGGUUUACUUGUAUGGACCCUAUAGGUUUACUAGUAUGGACCCUAUAGGUUUACUAGUAUGGACCCUAUAGGUUUACUUGUAUGGACCCUAUAGGUUUACUUGUAUGGACCCUAUAGGUUUACUAGUAUGGACCCUAUAGGUUUACUAGUUUGGACCCUAUAGGUUUACUUGUAUGGACCCUAUAGGUUUACUAGUUUGGACCCUAUAGGUUUACUUGUAUGGACCCUAUAGGUUUACUAGUAUGGACCCUAUAGGUUUACUAGUAUGGACCCUAUAGGUUUGCUAGUAUGGACCCUAUAGGUUUACUAGUAUGGACCCUAUAGGUUUACUAGUAUGGACCCUAUAGGUUUACUAGUAUGGACCCUAUAGGUUUACUAGUAUGGACCCUAUAGGUUUACUAGUAUGGACCCUAUAGGUUUACUAGUAUGGACCCUAUAGGUUUACUAGUAUGGACCUUUAUCAGAGGAUUCACCUGGCAGAACAAACAGCUUAGGCAUUAGGGGUUGAAGUGCAGGGUUAAAGUAGGGUUACGUUUAGGGUUAGAAACCAGGGUUACGUUAAGGUUAGUUUGAGGUUAUGUUAAGGUUAGUUUGAGGUUACGGUAAGGUUAGUUUGAGGUUAUGUUAAGGUUAGUUUGAGGUUACGGUAAGGUUAGUUUGAGGUUAUGUUAAGGUUAGUUUGAGGUUACGUUAAGGUUAGUUUGAGGUUAUGUUAAGGUUAGUUUGAGGUUACGGUAAGGUUAGUUUGAGGUUAAGGUUAGUUUGAGGUUACGGUAAGGUUAGUUUGAGGUUAUGUUAAGGUUAGUUUGAGGUUAAGGUUAGUUUGAGGUUAUGUUAAGGUUAGUUUGAGGUUACGGUAAGGUUAGUUUGAGGUUACGGUAAGGUUAGUUUGAGUUUACGUUAAGGUUCGUUUGAGGUUACGGUAAGGUUAGUUUGAGGUUACGGUAAGGUUAGUUUGAGGUUACGGUAAGGUUAGUUUGAGGUUACGGUAAGGUUAGUUUGAGGUUACGGUAAGGUUAGUUUGAGGUUAAGGUUAGUUUGAGGUUACGGUAAGGUUAGUUUGAGGUUAUGUUAAGGUUAGUUUGAGGUUAAGGUUAGUUUGAGGUUAUGUUAAGGUUAGUUUGAGGUUACGGUAAGGUUAGUUUGAGGUUACGGUAAGGGUUAGAGUUAGGGAAAGGCUUCAACUUUUGGGCUGGCGCAACUCCACCUCCGUAAAUAUAUCUGCCAGUUAAACAAACACCACCUUAAUCAGAACACAGUAUUAGUAUUAGUCUGUACUGGAACGUAUUGGAAAGUUUCUCCAGUUUAAAAUAUAGCAGUGUCUCCAACUCCACUCCCAGGUAUUCGUUGGCCAAACUGCUGUAGAUGCUGCCAAAGCUAAGCUUCUGCUCUGUGUUUUACUGCUGUUUGCAUGUGCCUCAGUCCUCACUUCUUCACAGCGGUUUCUCCUCUCAUUAAAGGGUUUUAAUCUG